Molecule: unclassified non-coding RNA, 516 nt
Filed under: uncultured Pelagibacterales bacterium
Lineage: Bacteria; Pseudomonadati; Pseudomonadota; Alphaproteobacteria; Candidatus Pelagibacterales
Description: partial 16S-23S ribosomal RNA intergenic spacer
Rfam family: Bacterial large subunit ribosomal RNA (bases 395-516)
Source: RNAcentral
CCUCCUUUCUAAGGAUGAUUAAGGAUUAUUUCUUAAUCUAAAUAAUAUAACAGGUUAAUGUUGACCGUCCUCGUUUCUCUUCUUGAAGUAGUGUUUCUCUUUUCUGCAUAGGGGCCGGUAGCUCAGUUGGUUAGAGCACACCCUUGAUAAGGGUGGGGUCGAAAGUUCGAGUCUUUCUCGGCCCACCAAUAUAAUGGGGGAUUAGCUCAGCUGGGAGAGCGCCUGAUUUGCAUUCAGGAGGUCAGCGGUUCGAUCCCGCUAUCCUCCACCAAGAAACACUUAGUUAUUUAAUUUGUAAAUAAAUUUUAAUAUUAUCAAUAUCUAUAUCCGAACAUUAAUUAAUUAAUGUUCAAAUAAAAAAUUUGAUUCAACACAGAAUUUUUUUCUGUGCAUAAAUCAAGCGUUUAAGGGCGUGUGGCGGAUGCCUUGGCACUGAAAGCCGAUGAAGGACGUGGUAUACUGCGAUAAGUUACGGGGAGCUGUAUGCAAGUUUUGAUCCGUAAAUUUCCGAAUGGG